UCCUUAGUUGCCAGCACGUCAUGGUGGGGACUCUAAGGAGACUGCCGGUGUCAAACCGGAGGAAGGUGGGGACGACGUCAAGUCAUCAUGGCCUUUAUGUCCAGGGCUGCACACGUGCUACAAUGCGGCGUACAAAGGGAAGCAAAAUCGCGAGAUCAAGCAAAUCCCAAAAAGCGUCGCUCAGUUCGGAUUGCAGGCUGCAACUCGCCUGCAUGAAGUUGGAAUCGCUAGUAAUCGCAGGUCAGCUAUACUGCGGUGAAUAUGUUCCUGAGCCUUGUACACACCGCCCGUCAAGCCACGAAAGCGGGGGGCGUCCAAAGUCGCUGAGCUAACCCUUCGGGGAGGCAGGCGCCUAAGAUGAACUCCGUGAUUGGGACUAAGUCGUAACAAGGUAGCCGU
Molecule: ribosomal RNA, 399 nt
Filed under: Planctomycetaceae bacterium
Lineage: Bacteria; Pseudomonadati; Planctomycetota; Planctomycetia; Planctomycetales; Planctomycetaceae
Description: bacterial SSU rRNA
Rfam family: Bacterial small subunit ribosomal RNA
Source: RNAcentral